This 497-nucleotide ribosomal RNA is filed under the name uncultured bacterium. Its description in RNAcentral is "partial 16S ribosomal RNA". It matches the Rfam family "Bacterial small subunit ribosomal RNA", at positions 28 to 507 of the family's 1533-position model. The record is from RNAcentral.
GAUGAACGCUGGCGGCGUGCCUAAUACAUGCAAGUCGAGCGAACGGACGAGAAGCUUGCUUCUCUGAUGUUAGCGGCGGACGGGUGAGUAACACGUGGAUACCCUACCUAUAAGACUGGGAUAACUUCGGGAAACCGGAGCUAAUACCGGAUAAUAUUUUGAACCGCAUGGUUCAAAAGUGAAAGACGGUCUUGCUGUCACUUAUAGAUGGAUCCGCGCUGCAUUAGCUAGUUGGUAAGGUAACGGCUUACCAAGGCAACGAUGCAUAGCCGACCUGAGAGGGUGAUCGGCCACACUGGAACUGAGACACGGUCCAGACUCCUACGGGAGGCAGCAGUAGGGAAUCUUCCGCAAAGGGCGAAAGCCUGACGGAGCAACGCCGCGUGAGUGAUGAAGGUCUUCGGAUCGUAAAACUCUGUUAUUAGGGAAGAACAUAUGUGUAAGUAACUGUGCACAUCUUGACGGUACCUAAUUAGAAAGCCACGGCUAACUACGUG